AGCACCACAAAGGAGAUUGACAUGUGAGGCCGGCAGUGCAAAUAUCUUUGGUGUACAACUUGGAACGACUGCCUGUCUGACUCAUUGUCUGUUUCUUGGACAUUUAGGUGCAUAUUGUGAUAGCCACAAUGUGUGUCACUGUCGCCACUAACAAGGUGAGUGUAUAGUCCGUUAAUCAUUUCACAGAUUUACUUUAGAAAUAUUUGCGUAAUCUUGACCUUUGUUUUCUUUAUUUAUUGAAUAUUUUUAGUAACUCUUCCUUACAGAGUGAUCUAAUGGAGCAGGAUACUAUAUAACUAUUGUUAUAGCAUUGAUUCUUUCACAAGUUCCACUCCUAAUUUUGCCUGGUCCGUCCGCCCCUUGUUUAUCAAAAUCUUUGAUCCUUAUAUGCCUAAUUUCGUAAAGAUUAUUUUCACUGAUUGAAUUUUAUCAAUACAAAUGUACUGUAUUUAUUCAAGUAGUUAAUAUAUUGUUGUGUGUUUGUUUUUCGACAUUGGCUAGAGGUAUAGGGGGAUAGUUAAGAUAUCAAAAAAAUGUUUACCCUAACGCAUUUUUGCGCCUGUCCCAAGUCAGAAGCCUCUGGGUUUUGUUAGUCGUGUAUGAUUUUAAGUUUCGUUUCUUGUGUAUAUUUCGGAGUUUAGUAUGGCGUCCAUAUCACUGAACUAGUACCCAUUAUUGUUUAGGGGCCAAAAAUACGCCUAAGGGGUGGGAGUUUCGAGCUGUAUUGAAAAACCAUUCGUGACCUUCGGCUGUUGUUUGCUCUAUGGUCAGGUAGUUGUCUCUUUGACACAUUUUGCAUUUCCAUUCUUAAUUUCAUUGUCCCAUUUUCUUAUUGUCCAACACUGUUCUUAUUUUUUUCAUAAUAGGAAAAGAUGGCAGCAUAUAUAUAUACAACUUUUGUUGCAAUAUCGUAUGAAUAAGACCAAGAGAUAUGGUGAACUUUUUGCAAAUAUAUAGAUAAUCAACAAGAUUUAGGGCAAUAAGAGUUCAUAACUGUAUUUUAAAAUAUAUGUAGUUAUUUCUUUUUUAUUGAUAAGAAAAUCAUACUUAAUACCCAUGGAUCUAAAUACAGUAAAAAUAUAAAGGCACAAAUGGAUAUGAAACAGAUGCACAUCUUGACGAUUGAAAUGCUUGAUUUAUAUAAAUGUAACCUAAAAUUAAUUUUCAUGCAAUUUUGGUGUAAAAAUUACUCGAUUCUUUUAUCGAAAUUCACUGUUCAAUUCAAAGAUAGAUGAGCGAGGUUUUGAAGCGUAUUAAGAAUCAUAAUUUGGAUAUACCAAAUUCAAGCUUAAAGUGAUAAUAACGAAAUCUAUGUCUAUGACACGCCUUUCUGCUAGCAUCUGUUUACUUUUUGUUUUAAAUUCUGAUAAAUGACGAGUUAAAGUACGUAGUAUAUCAUUUAGAUCAUGAAAUAUCUAUUGUCAUCAUGUAAAAACAAUGACCAUUUAUCUGUAAUUUUAUUUAUUUUUUAGAUAAGUGUCGAAAUCGUGGAAUGAACCAAGUCCAAAUGAUGAAUAAAAAUGUGAAACAG
RNAcentral lists this long non-coding RNA (1531 nucleotides) under Mytilus galloprovincialis (Mediterranean mussel). Lineage: Eukaryota; Metazoa; Mollusca; Bivalvia; Mytilida; Mytilidae. The record is from RNAcentral.